AAUGAAAUAAAUUUUUAAUGGCCGCAGUAAUUUGACUGUGCAAAGGUAGCAUAAUCAUUAGUCUUUUAAUUGAAGGCUUGUAUGAAUGGUUGGACGAAGUAUAAUCUGUUUCAUAUAAAUUUAUUAUAGAAUUUUAUUUUUUAGUAAAAAAGCUAAAAUUUUUUUAAAAGACGAGAAGACCCUAUAAAUCUUUAUAAUUUAAAUUAUUAUAAUUUUUUUGAUUUAGUUUAUUUUAAUAAUUUAAAUUAUUUUAUUGGGGUGAUAUUAAAAUUUAAAUAACUUUUAAUUUUAUUUAACAUUAAUUUAUGAUUAAUUGAUCCAUUAAUAAUGAUUAUAAGAAUAAGUUACUUUAGGGAUAACAGCGUAAUUUUUUUGGAGAGUUCUUAUUGAUAAAAAAGUUUGCGACCUCGAUGUUGGAUUAAGAUAUAAUUUUAGGUGUAGUUGCUUAAA
This 450-nucleotide ribosomal RNA is filed under the name Trupanodesis aurea. RNAcentral describes it as "partial large subunit ribosomal RNA". The record is from RNAcentral. Lineage: Eukaryota; Metazoa; Arthropoda; Insecta; Diptera; Tephritidae.